GUUGAAACACAGUUUCCUAUAUGAUCAUCAAAGUUAAGCAACUUUGAGUGUGGUCAGUACCUUGAUGGGUGACUUCUUGGGAAUACCAGGUGCUGUAAG
Non-coding RNA from Acanthosepion pharaonis, 99 nucleotides. The record is from the annotation of a GenBank genome assembly. Lineage: Eukaryota; Metazoa; Mollusca; Cephalopoda; Sepiida; Sepiidae.